UGAGGUGAUGGAGUGGAUGAAUAA
This 24-nucleotide non-coding RNA is filed under the name Cricetulus griseus (Chinese hamster). Lineage: Eukaryota; Metazoa; Chordata; Mammalia; Rodentia; Cricetidae. The record is from RNAcentral.